RNAcentral lists this long non-coding RNA (684 nucleotides) under Callithrix jacchus (white-tufted-ear marmoset). RNAcentral describes it as "lncRNA (ENSCJAG00000084606.1)". The record is from RNAcentral. Lineage: Eukaryota; Metazoa; Chordata; Mammalia; Primates; Cebidae.
UGUGCACAGUAUGGUGGAAAGAGAAUUAUAGGGAGUCAGGAAACAAAAACUAUAGUCUGGGUUUUGUCAUUUUUAAAGUGGGUAACUGGAGGAAAGCAACUUAACCUCUCUUAACCUAUGAUGACUCUGCAAACUAGAAAUAAUAAUUUUUUGCCCUUCCUGCUUCCCAGAGUUGUGGAGAAGAUGAUCGAAGAAAAUGCCUUGAAAAACAGCAAAUUUCUACAAAUGUAUGGUGCUAUCAUUGACCGUAGUAGGGCCCAGCAUAUAGUACACAGAGUGUUUACUGGGUAUAAUUAUGGAUACUGAAGAAUAAACAGAGAAAGGAACAGACAUAGAAACCCACAAAAGUUGAAUAAAAUGUAGACUCACAUAACUUAUGUGGAUAUAUACUUUUCCUCAUUACAAGAAAAUAAAUUACCAAAAAGAUAUGAAUGUUGAAUAAUAUAAGAACACUAUCUUUUUCAUUUAUGAAAUAUAAACAAUGCAAAAAGCACCUCUAUUAUUUGUGCAGUCAUUUCUGAACGUGUCCAAGCUGGAAUAAGUGGUAGACUGGCUGGGCUGAUUUACACUGGGAAGGGCACAGUAAGUACAGAAGAAAUGACCUUAAGGGGAGAAGGGAGUGAUGAGGGAAACAAAAGUCUGUGUGGUGGAUUUGAAAGUGAGGGAUCAUUUGAGAAAAGAGAU